GACGAACGCUGGCGGCGUGCCUAAUACAUGCAAGUCGAGCGAGCGGAACUAACAGAUUUACUUCGGUAAUGACGUUAGGAAAGCUAGCGGCGGAUGGGUUAGUAACGCGUGGGGAACCUGCCCCAUAGUCUGGGAUACCACUUGGAAACAGGUGCUAAUACCGGAUAAGAAAGCAGAUCGCAUGAUCAGCUUUUAAAAGGCGGCGUAAGCUGUCGCUAUGGGAUGGCCCCGCGGUGCAUUAGCUAGUUGGUAAGGUAAAGGCUUACCAAGGCGAUGAUGCAUAGCCGAGUUGAGAGACUGAUCAGUCACAUUGGGACUGAGACACGGCCCAAACUCCUACGGGAGGCAGCAGUAGGGAAUAUUCCACAAUGGACGAAAGUCUGAUGGAGCCACGCCGCGUGAGUGAAGAAGGUUUUCGGAUCGUAAAGCUCUGUUGUUGGUGAAGAAGGAUAGAAGUAGUAACUGGCCUUUAUUUGACGUUAAUAAACCAGAAAGUCACGGCUAACUACGUG
This 512-nucleotide ribosomal RNA is filed under the name uncultured bacterium. RNAcentral's name for it is "partial 16S ribosomal RNA". It matches the Rfam family "Bacterial small subunit ribosomal RNA", at positions 28 to 507 of the family's 1533-position model. The record is from RNAcentral.